ACAUCCAGAAGGUGCUGUGUUUCACUGACAGGCUGUCAGACUAACGCCCUGAUGAGCUCAGCUGGGACAAACUGGUCUGAUGUUUAGGAACACAGAACGUUCAGAUGUUGGAGCUUCACGUCACCUACUGAAGAAGGAGACCCACCAGUAAAGAGACGGUCUGGACCAGACCAAAAAUAUGGCGAUGACAUCAUGGAACUGGUCUUUGGAAAAGUUUUCCCUGAACCAACUCCGUUUCUAGAUGAGGUAGAGAAGAUCUGCAUCUCACCAACCCUCUGGUCUCAGUAUUCAGACAACGGAGGUCUCCCACUGUUAUCCAGGACCAGUUUGAAGCCCACAUACUGCCCCUCCCUCCUCAUCAGGAAACAUCAAUCCGUAUCCUGAGGACAACAGAAGAUGGCAGGAGGACAGGAACUCUGAGACCUAGAUACCACCAGCACAGAGACACAAAGCACCUGUGUGCACAACGCCUGUUUAACUACUAAAGCCUGUUUAUUAUAUUUUUCUACUUAUUUGCUGUGAGGUUAAUACUUAGAAAAUUUGUAUAUUAAUGUAAACAAUUAAAAAAAUCACUGAUUGUAUGCUUUCUUUUAGAUGUAAUGGUCCAAACUCAGCCUUGUAGACAUUUAUUGCAUCCUGUAGGUAAAUACACAGAACAGGCUCAGAUCCAGGAUGACCCAGCAUGCUCUUCUUCCAUUCUGGCUGUUAGGGAUUUUAUCAAUAACUCAAUGCCUACUGAUGUUUUCACCUAACAGUAUUUAUUUAGAAUGCAGGUAAGAUUUAACCAUAUUUGUUAGCAAAGCAGACUGAUCUUGGGAAUUUCACUGCAGCACUGAUGUCCACCUCUGUGUACACAUUAGAGAAUUACCACGUUACAGCUAAACACACAUUUAAUAAAGAUAUAGGCUACGCAUUGCAGACAAUAAAAACAAAGUUGUAAGCAUUAGAAUUAUAAAGAUCACAUUAAAGAACAUUUGGAGGAAUGUGCUUUAUUUUUGACUAGAAUCUCAAAUCUUUAAAUUAAAAUGUAACUGCUUUUUAUCCAUUUUCAGCCAUUAAGACACCCAAUA
Molecule: long non-coding RNA, 1070 nt
Organism: Nothobranchius furzeri (turquoise killifish)
Lineage: Eukaryota; Metazoa; Chordata; Actinopteri; Cyprinodontiformes; Nothobranchiidae
Source: RefSeq, a predicted model, not a curated record